AUUAGUGUAGGACAUGAGAAGCCA
RNAcentral lists this non-coding RNA (24 nucleotides) under Arabidopsis thaliana (thale cress). Lineage: Eukaryota; Viridiplantae; Streptophyta; Magnoliopsida; Brassicales; Brassicaceae. The record is from RNAcentral.